Molecule: long non-coding RNA, 4249 nt
Organism: Arachis stenosperma
Lineage: Eukaryota; Viridiplantae; Streptophyta; Magnoliopsida; Fabales; Fabaceae
Exons: 7
Source: RefSeq, a predicted model, not a curated record
AUAGACGCUAAUAUAUGUAUAUAUAAAUGGCCCGAUUAUUUGGACUCAAUCAUAUUGGGUUCUCACCACUUUCUUCGUUUCUUGUCUAAUGUUAUUUGUCUCCUUCUAUGAAGUUCCUUUCUUCUUUUCUUUUUUUUUUUUGGCCACGUAUGCAAACUCCGAAUUUCGAGCGAUGCCGUAGCUUCCCAUCGUUCUUGAUACUCGUCACUUUGGAAGUCACCGCCGACAGUCAUCGCUGCCGCGCAUUACCAUUGUCGCAUUUCGAAACCCUAACGGCUUUCCUACGUACUCUGCCACCUUCCGAACGCAAACGGCGCUCCCGCAUGAUCGUCACAGCAUGCGUUUGGCUUCGUUUUCACAUUUAUAUUGUUGUGUUCUUGAUAUUCUUUUUUCGGUUUUGGUCUUAAUUUUGAUACUUUGUUUUGCAAUGCAGGUGUCCAUUGCUUACAACCAUUUUGGAGAGGGAGUGCCAAGGUGCAGACACUGGUAUUUCCAUGGAGAUGUAUGCUAUUAGUGGAAGUGUUAACGCUCAAUCAACAGAGAGGUGUACAAACCAAUCCGAUUAUGCAGGAAUGAAGGUGUUCAUGAAUUUGAAGCAUUAGGAGAUUGGGCCUGUUGCAGCAACUUUUGUUCCUUUGUUCGGUUGGGUGGCUGACUGGCUCUGCGUAUAGUGUUACAUGAAGAGGACGAAUUUGAUUAAAAAAAUCUUUCGGGGACCAAUUUGGAGAACGAGUGAUCUUUCAAGGACAAAUUGGACCAUUUACCCAGAUAAUUGUUUUAAUGCUACAGCAAUGGACAUUGUAAGUUUUUUUGCCAAAUAAAUCUUCAAUGUUAAUAAUGUUUGGUUUUGUUGCCCUUUCUUUCCUUCUAAUUAUUUCAACCUGUGUCUAUCUGACUUCAAACCAUUUUUCUUUUCUAUUGAAAUGUUUUCAUUUUUCAAAUCGCAGUUUUUGUGGCACUUAUAAUUUUGUGUGUCAGAAAUGUGUGGAGACAAUUUAGAAUAACCUGGAGAAGUUGCUUCAUACUUCUCAUUUCUGAAGAAGCAGUAAACAUGAUAUUGGAGUAGCAAUCUAGCAUUGCCACUUUCUAGCCCAUUUACAACCUGAUUAUCUUAGUUCUCCUAGAAGCAUAUUUGCAUCUGUGCAUUUUCUAUAUUAAAUAUAAACUUUUACAUUGUAUUUUGAGUUCAAAAUAGCUAUGGGUAGUUCACCUUGCCAAUGCAGUGAUGUUAACUAACUUUGAUUGAACAAUUAUCGAAGAAGGUGAUAGAUAUGAGGUAAUCGCAGAGGAUCGCUUGUCAAGGUGUACUUAAUGAUGCUUGGAAUUACGUUUUACUGUCUGGAAAAGUGGAAGAGCCUGGAAUGUCUUCUGCCUAAUCCUGGGCUCUAGAAAUCUGAAUUAGCAAAGAAGAGGCCACAGUACAAACACUUAAAAGACAACUUUCUCUUGAAUCCUGAAUCACAAGGACAAUGUACAACUCAACAGUUCUGACACUGAUGAUGCCAUUUGAGUGUAGAACCUUACUCUAGAUCAGAAAUACUAGUGGGGAGAAUUCGUUGUGUCUUGGGGAGACCAAUGCAAGGAAUGAUUUCUUCCAAGUAAAUUGCACAUUUCUCUUCUAUAUGUUGAAUUGGGGGGGAAUCAAUAGAUACCUUAUUUAGCUGUUUCUUCUCUUUUUCGUUGUUCAUCUUCUUUAGAAUCCCGAUAGAAUUUUUAUUUUAGUGGAGUUCAUCAAAUUUUGCUAAGCAAAAUACUUGUUUUGUGAUCUGCACAAACCCAUGUAGCAUCCAUUCCAUUAAACUUGUUUGAUGACCCUCUGGUCCAUGAUGUUUUAUCCUUAUCAUAAGAUGCAUUGUCUGCUAGUACUUUGGUUUCACCUUUACUGUUGAUGUAUUCUUAAGUUUCUUGGACUACCGAGGGCAACCUGGGUUGGGACUUGGAUUAGGGAGAGCAAGUCAAGAUUUCAGGAUGUCGUCUUUUGUUGCUUACUGAGGGGACUGUAGAUCAGAAAUGUUAACAGAUGCAAUAUACAUUUCCUUUUACAUAAAUUGGAUAUGAAAAAUAUGUGAUUUACUUUAUAUAAUAAUCAUGUGAAUAGAUAGCAUUGGAGGAUUUAAACUCAUUUUGCUGUCAGAUACUAUUCUGCUAUACGUUUUGGUCACAAAGGGGUUGGUACUUGGAAUUGGAAGUAAUGGGGUAGUUUAAGGCAAUAUAGUGAGGACAUUGUCUAGUCCUCGGUUGUAUUGAAUCUGUUAAAUAGAUUUAUUACUAAAUUAACAAAUAGUGUUGCUCAUUGCUUCAUUCUUUUAGUGAUUUUCUAUAUGUUAAUAUUUGUUUCUUGUCCAUUAUUUUCUGCUCUUUUUAUUUUAUUUUUUUCCUCUACUGGUUUAUGUAUCUCUGCUUGUAAAGUAGCAAUGCGGUUAGUUAUUACUUAUUACACUUCAUUGAGUGCACACUACUAUUAAAGUAUUAGUCAGUUUUUCAGAAAGGUCUAAUUUGUUUUUUGUUGGUUCUAAUUGCCGGGUCAAUCUCCAAUUAGGUGGAUUACUGUGUUGACUCAAGAAUUUAACUUUGCUAACAGCCUUCACAUUUGGGACACUCUUUUAAGUGAUCUAGAAGGUCCACACAGGUAUAAUUUUGUAUGUUAUUUAUCUUGUAGUACUAUAUUGCCAUUAGCCAUAUGAUCUGUUGCCACCUCUUUGAUGAAUAUGACUGAUAUAAAUGGAAAGAGCCAUAAGAUUAGAUUUCAGUCCAACUUGCCAAACUAAUUAAAGAUAAAAAUAAGAGAAAAGCCCAAAGUCAUACACGCUGAAUAAGGGGAGUGAGUAAUGCGCUGGAAUAUAUAGGUAAUGUUGCAUUAUUGUUGAGAACUUGGAUUUCGGGAAAAGAUCCUCUAAAGUGAAAAUUUUGGUAGUAUGUUCAUCAUUUGAGUCUUACUCUUUGCUUCAAGAGUCAUUAGAGUGUAUAACUUCUUACUUUACUAACUUCCUCACUUCAGAAGAGUGACCCUUGAAUUUGAAUAAUCAAUCAUCAGCUUUGCCAUGUACUUAUUUUAUGCCACAAAUAUCAUAAGCCCUUAGACAAGUGUAAUAUGUUCCCAGAAUUGGAACCACUGAUAUCAAACUCAACAAACAUUGAUAUGUUUCCUAGCAGACGGGAGUGAGAAUCCAAGAUGGUUGGUACCGAAUCAUUUAAUGGGCAUGCACUGUUUUCAUAUGGGACCAUCACAUAUUUGGAAAAUAGGGUUGGCUUAUAUCCGUUUAUCACUCCAUUUUUAAUGUCUUUAUCAGAAAUAAAAUUGAAUAAAUUAGCACUCAUCACCAUCAUAUAUAUUACUUGCAGUCUUCAUAUUUAAGUUGAAAGGUUAUACUGAUCGAUCAAGCCCUCUUCUAUCUCUAAAGAUUGCUUGCUUGGAAUCGGAUCCAUGAGCUAUCUGCACCAUAUUUUAUAUAUAUCUUCAUCCUCUCUUAAAUAUGAAUUUCAUAUAUGCUUUAUGGCCUACAUUGAUAUCCUUAAUUAAUUUUAACUAUUUGUAUGUUAGAAGUUAGAACCGUUACAUUAAGAAUAUUAUUAGCAUUAUUACUUUAAUAGUUUAAUGUAGGAUUUAAUUAGUUCCAAUAAAAGUAUGCGUGAAGCUAGUUAUUUGUGUGAUUUUGAUCAUUUAAGAACAAUUGACAAUAAUGUUAUAUAUGUUAAAUUUGUUGAAACUAAGCGUGAGAGAUUUGAUUUGGAAAAGCUUUCAAAUCAUUGCUGGAAUGGAAGAUACUUUCACCAUCACCAAAAUGAUACUUCUCUUCCUUUCCUAAAUUCUAAAUUGUAUUAUAACAUUUUAUGUAUGUAACCAAACUUUGAAUUCCUUGGUGUUAAAUCAACUUUGAUAACGAAGUGAAGAGAUAAAGUAACUUGUAAGCACAAAAAGAUAAGUUAAAUUAAAUUGUUUAGCAUCAAGAAGCACCGACCCAGCACAUUUAUGUCGCCUAAAUUGCACACGUCUUGGUGUUUGGAAAGCAUGAUAAUGUCUAUAUGUAUGUACGCUGUAAUUUUCCACGGUAAUAUUGUUUAUACACCCAUUUGGCUGUAUUUGAUGAAUUCAUGGGGUUGGGACCCUCUCAUGGGCCAUGGACCGGAACCUACCUGUCCAAACGGAGCAAACAAUAAUUUGGCAGAAGGUUGAAGAGUAGGUCAGAUAGUAGAAAAUGCAAUAGAAAAAAAAUUCGACUCGGGGCAUUUUCUCUUUUUAGCGUAUGAA